Molecule: ribosomal RNA, 44 nt
Filed under: Synchytrium cupulatum
Lineage: Eukaryota; Fungi; Chytridiomycota; Chytridiomycetes; Synchytriales; Synchytriaceae
Description: partial 28S ribosomal RNA
Source: RNAcentral
UUGGUCUCAGAUCAGACAGGAAGACCCGCUGAACUUAAGCAUAU